Helianthus annuus (common sunflower) is the source of this 274-nucleotide long non-coding RNA. RefSeq lists it as uncharacterized. The transcript is spliced from 3 exons. Lineage: Eukaryota; Viridiplantae; Streptophyta; Magnoliopsida; Asterales; Asteraceae. The record is from RefSeq and is a predicted model, not a curated record.
CCUCAAGCCAUCUUUAAUGAUCCAUUCAGAAGGGGCAACAAUAUUCUGGUGAUGUGUGAUGCUUACACACCAGCGAGUGAGCCGAUCCCGAAUAACAAGAGGGACAACGGUUUCAGCUAGGAACAAUCAGGCAUUAGGUUUACCUGUGGUUUCUUCAGUCAGUGUGGCAAAAAAGACGCUCAUUAGCAUCCUUGGUUUUAAUUUGGGUACUUCAGGUGCUUCUAUUCGCCUGAGUAAAUUGGUGUCAAUGAAUGGGGCUUCGGGUGCUUUUAUU